Molecule: unclassified non-coding RNA, 818 nt
Filed under: Hevea brasiliensis (rubber tree)
Lineage: Eukaryota; Viridiplantae; Streptophyta; Magnoliopsida; Malpighiales; Euphorbiaceae
Source: RNAcentral
UGAACGUAAUGAGCUGCAGGUCCCUCUAUUAUCAUUUGCAGCCACAGAUCCCUCUCUUUCUUCGCUUCAGUACCCGUUUUUUGUUAGAACUUCACCAAGUGAUAAGUAUCAGAUGGAAGCUAUAGCUGAAAUGGUUGAGUACUAUGAAUGGAGGGAGGUGAUUGCUAUAUAUAUUGAUGAUGAUUUUGGAAGAAAUGGUAUAGCUGCAUUAGCAGAUCAGCUGGCCAAGAGGCGAUGUUCGAUCUCUUACAAAGCAGCAAUGAGACCUGGAGCAACAUUGGAUGAUGCCCGGGAUGCUUUGGUUCAGGUUGCUUUGAGAGAGUCACGAAUAAUGGUUGUUCAUACUUAUCCUACAAAGGGUCUGGAGAUAUUCUCUAUGGCACGGUAUUUGGGGAUGAUAGAUAAAGGAUAUGUGUGGAUUGCUACAAAUUGGCUCUCAACUAUCCUUGACGCUGGUAGUCCCCUUCCUUCGGAUGAAAAAGAGAACCUUGAAGGGGCUAUUACCUUGCGUAUACACACUCCAGGUUCAGAAUUGAAACAGAAGUUUGUCUCACGGUGGAGCAAUUUGACAAGGAAGGCAGGACUUGCUGGAUCUUCAAGGAUGUCCACUUAUGCACUCUAUGCUUAUGACACUGUGUGGCUACUUGCUCGUGCCAUCAAUGAAUUCUUUAACCAGGGUGGAAAAGUUUCAUUUUCUAAGGAUCCAAGGCUAACUGAACUGAAUAGUGGAAGUAUGAAUCUUGAUUCUAUGAGCAUCUUUAAUGGAGGGAAGUUAUUGCGAGACAACAUUUUUAAGGUUAAUAUGACAGGUGUAACAG